This 1386-nucleotide ribosomal RNA is filed under the name Chaetothyriales sp. RNAcentral's name for it is "partial 28S large subunit ribosomal RNA". It matches the Rfam family "Eukaryotic large subunit ribosomal RNA", at positions 34 to 1442 of the family's 3401-position model. The record is from RNAcentral. Lineage: Eukaryota; Fungi; Ascomycota; Eurotiomycetes; Chaetothyriales.
UUAAGCAUAUCAAUAAGCGGAGGAAAAGAAACCAACAGGGAUUGCCCUAGUAACGGCGAGUGAAGCGGCAAAAGCUCAAAUUUGAAAUCUGGCUUCGGCCCGAGUUGUAAUUUGUAGAGGAUGUUUCGGGCACCGCCCCGGCGUAAGUCCCUUGGAACAGGGCGUCAUAGAGGGUGAGAAUCCCGUCUGGCGUCGUGGUAGGGCCCAUGUGAAACUCCUUCGACGAGUCGAGUUGUUUGGGAAUGCAGCUCAAAAUGGGUGGUAAAUUUCAUCUAAAGCUAAAUACUGGCCAGAGACCGAUAGCGCACAAGUAGAGUGAUCGAAAGAUGAAAAGCACUUUGAAAAGAGAGUUAAACAGUAUGUGAAAUUGUUGAAAGGGAAGCGCUUACAACCAGACUUGAGCCCGUCGGUUCCCCCUCGCUUCUGCGUGGGCUACUCCGGCGGGUCCAGGCCAACAUCGGUUCGGGUGGCUGGUCAAAGGCCCCGGGAAUGUACCUCACCUUCGGGUUAGGCUUAUAGCCCGGGGUGUCAUGCGGCCUACCUGGACCGAGGAACGCGCUUCGGCUCGGAUGUUGGCGUAAUGGUUGUCAGCGACCCGUCUUGAAACACGGNCCAAGGAGUCGAAGAGCUAUGCGAGUGUUUGGGUGUCAAACCCGUACGCGUAAUGAAAGUGAACGGNNNNNNNNNNNNNNNNNNNNNNNNNNNNNNNNNNNNNNNNNNNNNNNNNGAUGGAUUUGAGUAAGAGCAUAACUCUCCGGACCCGAAAGAUGGUGAACUAUGCCUGAAUAGGGUGAAGCCAGAGGAAACUCUGGUGGAGGCUCGCAGCGGUUCUGACGUGCAAAUCGAUCGUCAAAUUUGGGUAUAGGGGCGAAAGACUAAUCGAACCAUCUGGUAGCUGGUUCCUGCCGAAGUUUCCCUCAGGAUAGCAGUAACGUUUUCAGUUUUAUGAGGUAAAGCGAAUGAUUAGAGGCCUUGGGGUUGAAACAACCUUAACCUAUUCUCAAACUUUAAAUAUGUAAGAAGUCCUUGUUACUUAGUUGAACGUGGACAUUUGAAUGUAUCGUUACUAGUGGGCCAUUUUUGGUAAGCAGAACUGGUGAUGCGGGAUGAACCGAACGUGAGGUUAAGGUGCCGGACUGCACGCUCAUCAGACACCACAAAAGGUGUCAAUGCAUCUAGACAGCCGGACGGUGGCCAUGGAAGUCGGAAUCCGCUUAGGAGUGUGUAACAACUCACCGGCCGAAUGCAUUGGCCCUGAAAAUGGAUGGCGCUUAAGCGUGCGACCUAUACCUCGCCGUCAGGGUUGACAUGAUGCCCUGACGAGUAGGCAGGCGUGGAGGUUUGUGACGAAGCCUUGGGGGUGACCCCGGGUCGAACAACCUCUAG